Pongo abelii (Sumatran orangutan) is the source of this 148-nucleotide non-coding RNA. NCBI's taxonomy places the organism in Eukaryota, Metazoa, Chordata, Mammalia, Primates, Hominidae. The record is from Rfam.
GCCGGGCGUGGUGGUGUGCGCCUGUAAUCCCAGCUACUCAGGAGGCUGAGGCAUGAGAAUCACUUGAACCUGGGGAUCAGGGGUUUCCGUGAGCUGAGAUCGAGCCACUGCACUCCAACCUGGGUGACAGAGUGAGAUUCUGUCUCAA